UCCCCGCGCCGACGCACCCGGAAUCUCCGCCGAGCCCCCAGCGCGGCUCCGCGCUCGGGGCCUCGAUGCCCCUGGGACACCUCGACAGUCUGUCCUGGCGCCGCGCUCGUCGGUCCGGCGGGGAAUGGUUGCUCGGUCGGUCGGCUCCUAGGGCGAUGGUCUGCAGGCCCCCUUCCUGGGGCAUAGAAAGGCAAAGGAGGGCCCUGGGGCAAACCAAAAGGAAAAGAGCUGAUGGUGGAUGUCACGACCCGGGCUGGACAGACCAGGGAGUCGUGUUGCGUUUGGAAUUCCCUCGGGCUAAAUUAAGGAACUGCCAUGAAACUAUCUCAGCGACCCGUGUAACCCAUGGUAACCAUAUACCUCAAUUCAGGGAAUAAGGAGAGCCCUCCCGUUGAGUCACGAGGUUCAGAGCGGACCCCCUCUGCUUUCUAGACUCCUCCGAGAAGUGCCGUGGGACGGCUGGAUCCGCUCCUAGUCCCAGACUUGGUCAGCGGUUUAUGUCUAAAGGGAUGAGGUGUAGGGAUUAUGAAAAAGGAGAGAGGAAGAGGAAAUGAAAAGAGAAAGAUCUCACCGCCCCUGGGCCCAGCGUUGCUCCAGUCUAAAGGUCCAGUUCCAGAAGGCGCGCGCGGGGCUUCUGUUUGCGUCCUUUCAUCAAUCUCCUUGCCCCUCCGUCGGGCGGGCACUCGGACUCAUUAGGCUAAUUAGCUGUCAUGCGCGGUUUGUGCUUUCAGAACCUUCAGGAAAUGGGUCGGUGGGCUUGGGGGGUCGUUUGAGGAGUAACUUCUUCCUCCCUGCAGGCGUGACCGUUGUUUGGUCCUUGGCCGCACAGGGUGAGCUGCCCUGCUCAGCGUAUCGGGACACGGACGCCCUCCGCCUUCUGCCGCAGACGUCCUGUGCUGGUCUGUGCUGAUCGGCUUCUCACCUGCGGUUCGUUGUUAUGCCGGGUUCAUUGUUAUGCAGGGUUCGUCGUUAAGCAGAACUUGCCCCACCACAAUGCUUGAGACAUUAACUCUUUCAGUCUCUCACAGUGGAGAACACCAAAAAGCACCCAGAAAACUGUGGGAAAGGGGAGAAAGCUGAACGGAGAAUUUUGUUGCCCACUGCAGGACAAACAGGACCCUGAGGCUCACCAGAAGGCACAUGGAGGGCUCAGGGGCAACCCAGAAUGUGCACUGAGGAUUCUGGGGCACACCAAAAUGCAAAUAGAGGCUGCAAGGUGCCUCAAAAUGUCCUCAAAAUCUGAGGACAUCAGAAAGCAAACUGGGAACACAAUGUCGUAACUAGGUGAAAAAGGUUGUUUCUGCAGGGCAAGUGCAAGGCCUUGGGGUGUAUGGGAAGCCAAGUGGAAGACUGUAAGGCAUGCGUCUCUACAGCUUUAUUACCUAGUCUACUUGGGAAUAAGUCACCAUGUAAGACUCUGUGUGUGUCUGUAUUUCCCUUCCACCUUGUUCGGAUUGCUCCCACCACUCUAUCCUCACCUUCAUUAUUGAAUUUCUCAUGCAAGGACAGCAUGUAAGCUGAGACUUUUUAGUAACCAACUUUAAUUUACUUGCCUUGCCAGAUGUGCAGUGGCUGCGGGCAGGGGUGUGGGGUGUGGAGUCUGAAAAAGUCCUGGGCAUUACCAGGAGGGAUACAGAUGACGACAAAAAGCUCCAGAAAACCUUGGUGAAUCCACAUCCUCAGUACUGUAUGCUGUCACAUUCUCUGCAUCUUAUGAAGGUCAAAGUUUUGAGUUGGAAAGGUACAAAGCUACCAUCUCGUAUAAGGCGAGCCUGAAUAGGCUGCAGUUUCUAACAUCCGCUAACACUGGCGGUGGUAUGAGAGGCAUGGACUGCGGAAAGAGGUGAGACUUACGUGCUCCUCCUAAACUGCAUCUCCUGUUGCCCCUGUUAGGGACAGAAUACCAGUAUAGACUUACAACGAUAGCUCCAGCCCAGUAGGACAUUUUGUAUGUUCUUAGGACAUGUGGUACAGAGAAGAAUGGAAUGGAAAAGUGGUUAGUAGACCACUGUGCUGAAUCAGUUUCUUUGUAUCAGUUAGACCUCUUUCUCCACUGAAAGAGUAAAUGCCAAUCCCAGUGGUUGAAACCCUGAAAUUAUUAGGAAUGCCAUAAUUGGCUUGCAGAGGAAAACAUAUCUGUAAAUUUUUGAGUCUCUAAACACAGUAUAGCUCAGAAAUAAAGAUCAAAAUUUUAUUUUCAUGUUGGUAAUAAAAAUAAUUCCAUGACUUCUGUAAACCAUUGCAUAAACGCUAUAGUGUAGAAAAGUUUUAACAAGUGUUAACAAUUUUAAACAGUUCACUACAAGUAAAUGAGUAUGCAUUAUAAAUAAUAUGUUUUGUAUUAAGAACAAUUUCAUUCACAAAAUCAUUUCUGUCUGUACACUCAAAACAUUAACGGCUUCCAUAAAUUGACUAAAAAUUCCGUAUUUAUUUAGGGUCUGAUGAUGACCACAGUUACACAAGCAUAGUGUGACAGUAAUAAUAUUACUACCUAUAUUUAAUACUAGGAUACUCUGAAUGGCAAUAUAGAACAAAACAAGUAUGUCUUUAAUAAUCUGCUAUUCAAAGAAGACUAAUAAGCCUGUAACGUGCAGCUUGGGAUGUAUCUGUAAUUAGCAUACUUCUGGUUAAAUUACAGCUCCUAACUGUAAAAACCCUGAGAAAUCACAUUUUUAAUCUAUUAUUCCCCAGGCUAAAAUAAUUGUGACAACAUAAUGGCAUUCACAUUUAAAAUUAUAUUCUUACAUAAAUUAACACAGAACUUUGUCAAAUACCAAAAUGAAUCUUGAAAAUAUAUUUAGUUUGCUUUUAUGUAUUUUGUGAAUUCAGCAAAUUACCAUAUUGUAGUCUCGCUAAAAUAUAAUUUUAAUGUAUCCAGUUUCUAGAUAAUGUAUAUAGUACAAGGACGAAUACUUACAAAGGUCAGGUUUCACUUCUGACUUCUUCCAAAUAGUCAUCUCUAGUCAACUGCAUUUAUUUUAUUAUCCUCCAUUUUAAAGUAGUGGUGUAAAAGUGCAUACUUAUUUGUUUUUGCAGUUGACUUGCUUAAUAAGAUACAGAAAACUUUGCUUGUAAUUCCUCACAAAAAGAAUUUUGUGAAGAACAACUGUAUUAUUUUCAUAUGACUGCUAUGUUAUGAUGAUGCAUGGUUCAAGUGAUUACCUAAGGAUUCGUCUAUAAUUAUAGCAAGCCGUCCAGUCUGAGAAUUUCACAUAUAGGUAUGUUUCUUGGGUAUGUGUUUUUUCCUUCUCCACAAAAUGGUUUGUUGACAGUUUUUAAAUGUGUCUGUAUUUCAGCACCAAAGAAACUUACAGGGAACACCUGCAAAAUUUUCAGUACUGAUAUUACUACAGGACACACAUAAUUAUUUUCAAGAUUCAUCAUUGUAAAACACAAAACAUACAACUUUAAAAAGCAACAGACUAAAUAUAUUAGUUAAUUUCCUCUAAAAAUGCAGCACACAAAAACUAUGAAUGUCAAUGUGAUGAUUCACACUGCAAGUGCUGUUAACAUUCCUUUUUUGUUGGUGUCAUGACAUUAGGAAAAUCGCCUGUUAGUACCAAAAAAAGGGACCACAAAAUAGCCCUAGGACAUAGGCAAAUGCACUAAAAUACACAUGAAGAACUAUAAACUUUGACAAGACAGCACAAAACCACGCUUCCAUAUCUCGUGGGUAACAAAUGUCACAUAGCUGCAUAUGGGCAGCACAACGUGGCCCGAAGCUGGUUCCUUCUAAAAUACCAAAGCAAAAAUUUUCACUAAGAUAUUUCUGAAUGUUUUUGUGAGCACAAUGGUUGCAGAAUGCUGUUCCACACUAGAUAAAUAUAGUAGACUGGAGUCCAAAAGAAAUGCUUGUUUGAAAAAUAUGUAACAUAAUUUCAAACUAUAAUUACAUAUUAUUCUUUGAUUUGCUCACUGUUUGAAAAAACAAAACCCUUACAUAACUAAGUUUGCUUUAGUCCAAAAUGCUGUUAAGGUUCAAAAAUCAGUCUUUGUCAUAGACUGCAGAGAUGCAAAAAACACCUUAAUACCUACACCCAAACUUGGUGAUCCAAGUUCCUUUUUUUAGAAGUCCAAAGCUGGCUACACCUUUAAAAUGGCAAUAUCUUAUUUUAGGACAGAAAAGUGUUUUGGAAAAUGCAAAUACAGUCCAAUUUUAUACUUUUCUCAGUACAAACAUUUUAGAGAAACUGUGUUAAAGUCAACAAAAUCACAUUAUUAAACCCAACUUUGGUCUUUAAAGUGAUCUUCAGACAAAAUUUUGAAACAGAAUCAAGUAGAAAUGUAUUUAAUAUUUUAUCCUACUUCUCCCUUCCCAAAAGGUCUCCAAUGUUCCUGCAGUGACAAGCCUGUACAUUUAGUUCUCACGGAAAACGUGUAAUGAUUUUUUGCUAACUCAAGCCUUUGUACAAAGAACGCUAAAACCCAAAGGAGAUAGUGAUUUCAGUACUAUUGGCUUGGGCCCUUUAUUUAAUGCUGACACAGUUAUAAAAGCUCCAUCUUGACAAUAAUAAUUUAAGUAUACAUCUUGUUUUUUGUUUUAGCAUGACUGAACUUUAAAUAGAUUAACUCUUUGCUGCCUAUGUGAACGCACUUUUUGUACUAAAUACAGUAAUACUGAGAUAGAAAUCAUGUAACACAGUAGUAGGUCAUUUCAAUCUAAGUUGUACUAGUGUCACACCUGAAUUUAACAGUAAAACAAGUAAUGCAGGCAAUUAUUCCAUGUAAGAAAAGUAAAAAUAUACAGUGUUAACAUGCAGUAAUUAACUAACUUCUCCUCCUGAACUGCAUGUUCCCAACUACCAGGAUGAAGUAAGAUAUUACCACCUUUUAAAAGAAUCACUGUGUCAAAGUGUCACUGCCUGAUUACAUACUUAAAUAAUUUUGUAGUUUCUUUCAAACAUGCAUUACUUCAUUACUGAAAAAAGUGUGGUUUUAAAUAUUUAUAAAAGCAAGAGACAUAUUCUAGUUAUUGUCAAAUUGUUCAAUACAAAAUUAAGCAAUAGAAAUUAUUUGCAAAAUUCUUUUUUUAUGUCUUCUGCCAUUUUAUAGGAUAUUGGGCAUAGGCACUUGGUAAUAUUAUAUAUAUCAUAGCUGUUCCCGAUGAGUACCACACAGGUUAGAUGCACAAAAACUUAGACUACAAACACCCAAACUGAGGGAAAUAUGCAAAUGCACAGUUGUUUACUAAAACUGAUCUGUUUCUCAAAUUGAAAACAUGUCUUUGAAUAUGAUGAAAGCGUAUGUGCCUCACUCGUUUUGUCUCUGCUGGUACAUUUAUAAAUACUACAGUAUGCAGUUAACUUAUAAAUUGUAAAAAAACUAGCUAAGUUGUCAUUUCUAUUUAAUCAUAUUGUGAUUUAACAGUAAAACCAUGUGAAAUCUUUUAAAUUCACAGUACACAUAUAACACGUCAUAUUAUUGCAUAUUAAAAAAUAAACGUAAGACCUAGAAAGCAGCUUGAAGCAAUUUACAACAGAUCUUCUAACAAAACACAAUAAUUAAAAAGUGCUUUUAUAUUUAUAUUAAUCAGAGUUUUUCAAACAUCCAAGUAGACAUAGUGUUAGACCAAUUCCAAAAUACUGGCUCUGGUGUUCUACACACAACAGAGAUGGCAAAGGAACCAUUUGUACUGUGGAGUGUGUAGUUACUGUAUCUAUGUAUCCAACUUCUGUUAAUGAAAAUAACAGGUAUAAACACUUCAUUCAGGCAUUAUGGUAAGAUUUAUACAAAGUGAUUACAGUGCAAAUGAACCUAAGUAGCUUGUGCACUGGGAAUGUAAGUGGAAGUCAGAAAAGGCUGCAAUGAGAUUGCGGGGGAAUGAACGAACCUCAAGACUACAGAACCUUAUCAAAUGACUGAAGCUGAUAUGUAAAGGUGAGCAAACCUUAUUCCCUAUCUUAAAGCAACUAAGUUUCUCACAUCAAAAUGGAAAUCAAUCUAGCACUAUUAAAUGGAUUAAUUAUGAGUGAUAUAAUUCUUAUACAAAAUACAAAACCAUAAAAUUAUUUAAUUCAUGAACAUGAUACGAGUACUAUGCCUGUAUGCUACCACAGAUUUUUUUUUUUCUUGCAGCAGGGACAUUCUUCUUGUGCAGCUGCACAGUGAUCACAAAGUACAUAAUGUUGACAUGGAUUCAGGAUAAUGCUACGAUCACCUUCCUGACACACGAUACACUUCUUUGACUGAAGCUGAAAAAUCACCUGUAAAAAGAUUAUUGCACUCAGUAAAAAUGAUUCCAAAGUAUACAGUUGCAUUCUAGCAGCUUUACACUUAGCUGUCCUGAAUAAACUUCUAAUUUAACAACACAAAGGACAAUGUUUUUGUAUGAUAGAUAGCUGAACUGAGGGUCAUUAAGAUCAGAGCAUGCGCAACCUUUAAAGUAGCAGCUGGAGGAAUAUAGGUGCUUUUGGAAAGGAAAGUAUCUAGGAUUGAACCUCUGGACUGAAAUUUUCCUGCAUCAUUGGGAUGAGAGAUGCAAACAAGCAAAACCAAAAAAAAAACCAGGAAAUGAGCCUUUUUCAUGGUCAUAUACUCACUCAUUUUGCCACUUCAAACCACCAUUACAUUUUCUCAUGCCAUGGGAGAUGUUCGCAUUAGGACAAAAUGGAAGCAUCCCAAAUGUGCGAUACUUUGCAUAAAGCUACUGAUACAGACUUUGGGGAGUAUGUUACAACUGCAAAUAAAUGUCUCCAUGUCAUAAGGCAUAUCAACCCUAUUAAGGAACAGGAAGAACUGAAAAGCUAGUUGCUUUUUGAUGCGUGUUAAUUUUUGAAGAGCAAGACAUGGUUCGGACUAAGAGAAGAACCAAGAAUGCUAUGUGUGGCACUGCCUAAGAUGGCAACUUUCUCUUGGAAGGAAGAGCUAGGUGAGAAGAGGCCACAAUGGUAAAGGAAAAAUGAGAAACUGAGGAGCUGGAAAAGGUGGUAAUGGUUCUGAUCACUCCAGCCUGGCCAAGAUGACUUCCAUUCCAGGAUGUAAUGACUUUUUUGGUAGGAGAACCCAAGACUCUUUUGCUCCUCUUUAAAAUCCCUUAGGAGAAAAACAACAGUGGUCCCUAAUCCAAUCAAGAGUCCUAUAAAUGUACUUGAUAACAGGAGCCUGGAAACUAGCAAGUCACGUCCUCGUCCACCUACUUUAUUGACAAAGACUUAAAUUAUCUUUUAAACUCUUCUAAAGAGAGCCUGGCUUUUUUUUCCAAGGCUGUAGUUCAUACUGAUACAGACAACACUGGACAGGAGGUGAACUGAGACAGAGAAGACACUGUGGAACUCAAACAGGCUGAGGCUGCUGGUGGUGAGGAGCCGUAGUGGAUGAAACAAAAGACUGAGACAGCGAUUGUGAAAGAGAACUGAGUGGAGAGGUCGAAAGGGAUGAUGAUGAAUGUAAAGAUGAGGAACGAACAAGAGAACCUGGAAUAUUGACAGGUGCUGAACCUCCCAGUAAUCUUUGACCUAUGUAUACAUUAGGGGGA
Aquila chrysaetos chrysaetos is the source of this 7474-nucleotide long non-coding RNA. RefSeq lists it as uncharacterized. NCBI's taxonomy places the organism in Eukaryota, Metazoa, Chordata, Aves, Accipitriformes, Accipitridae. The transcript has 3 exons. The record is from RefSeq and is a predicted model, not a curated record.